UGAGGAAAAUUGGUCAAUGGGCGAGAGCCUGAACCAGCAACGCCGCGUGAAGGAUGAAGGCCUUCGGGUCGUAAACUUCUUUUGAGGGAGAAGAGAAAGGACGGUAUCCCUCGAAUAAGCCACGGCUAACUACGUGCCAGCAGCCGCGGUAAUAA
Molecule: ribosomal RNA, 155 nt
Filed under: uncultured bacterium
Lineage: Bacteria
Description: partial 16S ribosomal RNA
Rfam family: Bacterial small subunit ribosomal RNA
Source: RNAcentral